This 583-nucleotide ribosomal RNA is filed under the name uncultured Clostridium sp. RNAcentral's name for it is "bacterial SSU rRNA". It matches the Rfam family "Bacterial small subunit ribosomal RNA", at positions 102 to 704 of the family's 1533-position model. Lineage: Bacteria; Bacillati; Bacillota; Clostridia; Eubacteriales; Clostridiaceae. The record is from RNAcentral.
ACGGGUGAGUAACGCGUGGGUAACCUGCCCUGUACACACGGAUAACAUACCGAAAGGUAUGCUAAUACGAGAUAAUAUGCUUUUAUCGCAUGGUAGAAGUAUCAAAGCUCCGGCGGUACAGGAUGGACCCGCGUCUGAUUAGCUAGUUGGUAAGGUAACGGCUUACCAAGGCGACGAUCAGUAGCCGACCUGAGAGGGUGAUCGGCCACAUUGGAACUGAGACACGGUCCAAACUCCUACGGGAGGCAGCAGUGGGGAAUAUUGCACAAUGGGCGAAAGCCUGAUGCAGCAACGCCGCGUGAGCGAUGAAGGCCUUCGGGUCGUAAAGCUCUGUCCUCAAGGAAGAUAAUGACGGUACUUGAGGAGGAAGCCCCGGCUAACUACGUGCCAGCAGCCGCGGUAAUACGUAGGGGGCUAGCGUUAUCCGGAAUUACUGGGCGUAAAGGGUGCGUAGGUGGUUUCUUAAGUCAGAGGUGAAAGGCUACGGCUCAACCGUAGUAAGCCUUUGAAACUGGGAAACUUGAGUGCAGGAGAGGAGAGUGGAAUUCCUAGUGUAGCGGUGAAAUGCGUAGAUAUUAGGAGG